AUGAAGCACCCCCAAGAGUUCUUUAUUCACACAUUUUUUCAAGGUUGGGGGUUUAAUGUAAGUUUUCUGCUAUUAAAACUGCAACUUUCCAUCCUGAUUGUGUCCAUGAUUAAGUUUUGGGUGUGGGCAGGGCAGGAGAUCAAGCACUCCGUCCUCUGCCAGGUCGCCGCCGCUGCCCGGGACGUGGACGCGCACGUGGGUCCGUCAGUCGCUGGCAAACAAGGUCGAGUCCGUGCAGAGCACUGGUCUCCUCCCUAUCGUCGUCGUCCUCCCUGCUGCCAGCGACGCCCUCCUGUCUCCUCUGCACCAGUCUACUCCUUCAUAUUAUUUACAAAAGAAAAUGGUUUGGGGUGA
Molecule: ribosomal RNA, 354 nt
Filed under: Triticum aestivum (bread wheat)
Lineage: Eukaryota; Viridiplantae; Streptophyta; Magnoliopsida; Poales; Poaceae
Description: partial small subunit ribosomal RNA
Source: RNAcentral